AAAACCGAGACGAACGCUGGCGGCGUGCUUAACACAUGCAAGUCGAACGGAAAGGCCCUGCUUGCAGGGUGCUCGAGUGGCGAACGGGUGAGUAACACGUGGGUGAUCUGCCCCUGACUUUGGGAUAAGCCUGGGAAACUGGGUCUAAUACCGGAUAUGACCAAGGAUUGCAUGGUUCUUGGUGGAAAGCUUUUGCGGUUGGGGAUGGGCCCGCGGCCUAUCAGCUUGUUGGUGGGGUAAUGGCCUACCAAGGCGACGACGGGUAGCCGACCUGAGAGGGUGAUCGGCCACACUGGGACUGAGACACGGCCCAG
RNAcentral lists this ribosomal RNA (314 nucleotides) under uncultured bacterium. RNAcentral describes it as "bacterial SSU rRNA". It matches the Rfam family "Bacterial small subunit ribosomal RNA", at positions 28 to 334 of the family's 1533-position model. The record is from RNAcentral.